GUCGGGAAUAUUGCACAAUGGAGGAAACUCUGAUGCAGUGACGCCGCGUGCAGGAAGAAGGUUUUCGGAUUGUAAACUGCUUUAGAUAGGGAAGAAACAAGACAGUACCUAUAGAAUAAGCUCCGGCUAACUACGUGCCAGCAGCCGCGGUAAUACGUAGGGAGCAAGCGUUAUCCGGAUUUAUUGGGUGUAAAGGGUGCGUAGACGGGUUAACAAGUUAGUUGUGAAAUCCCUCGGCUUAACUGAGGAACUGCAACUAAAACUAUUAAUCUUGAGUGCGGGAGAGGAAAGUGGAAUUCCUAGUGUAGCGGUGAAAUGCGUAGAUAUUAGGAGGAACACCAGUGGCGAAGGCGACUUUCUGGACCGUAACUGACGUUGAGGCACGAAAGUGUGGGGAGCAAACAGG
RNAcentral lists this ribosomal RNA (406 nucleotides) under uncultured bacterium. RNAcentral describes it as "bacterial SSU rRNA". It matches the Rfam family "Bacterial small subunit ribosomal RNA", at positions 354 to 776 of the family's 1533-position model. The record is from RNAcentral.